GCCUGGGUGGCUCAGUUGGUUGAGCUUCUGACUUCACCUCAGGUCAUGAUCUGGCGGUUCGUGGGUUCAAGCCCCGCGUCGGGCU
This 85-nucleotide transfer RNA is filed under the name Felis catus (domestic cat). It matches the Rfam family "tRNA". Rfam says of the family: Transfer RNA (tRNA) molecules are approximately 80 nucleotides in length. Their secondary structure includes four short double-helical elements and three loops (D, anti-codon, and T loops). The record is from Rfam by way of RNAcentral. Lineage: Eukaryota; Metazoa; Chordata; Mammalia; Carnivora; Felidae. RNAcentral also lists the same sequence under 2 other names.